Molecule: long non-coding RNA, 1491 nt
Filed under: Homo sapiens (human)
Lineage: Eukaryota; Metazoa; Chordata; Mammalia; Primates; Hominidae
Description: non-protein coding lnc-ADCY10-2:1
Source: RNAcentral
AAUACAAAUAAGAUGUUCCAUUUUUCAAAAAUUUGCUGCAAAUUUUCAUAUUAGAUCAAUCAUAUUUUCUUAAAAGUUGUGAUUGUUGGGAAUUUAAUCUGUCCUUUGGUAUUAUUUAUUUGAGUAGAUGUUUCCUGUCUGUCACUUCUCACUAGCAUCUAGGCUCCCUGCUGCAUCCCAUACAUAAACAGUGCCUUGUGCACUGCCAUUUAACAAAUAUUUUUAGCAUCUACCAUAUCCACUGUGUUAAGCACUAGGAAUACUUCUAUCCCGACACUGAUUGCUGGCCCUGCUCAACUUGGUUGCCUUGGCCCAGAACAGUCUGCCACCUACGGGUUGUCCAAUCAAUUAACCACUGCAGCAGGGCAAGAAUGAAGAGAGCAGGAAAUAAGGUAUUGAUAGUGGGGAUGAGAAGACAGGAUUUGAGAGACAUUUCACGAAAAGAAUUACAGGACUGGGUAUAAAUUGGAUGAGAAGUAUAAUCAAGAGAAAAAGAGUCCCAAUUUCUAGCCUGUCUGUCUUUGUCUUCAAGAUCUGUUGCCGGGAAAAUUGCUUGAACCCGGGAGGCGGAGGUUGCAGUGAGCUGAGAUUGCGCCACUGCACUCCAGCCUGGGUGACAGAGCAAGACUUCCGUCUCGGAAAAAAAUAAAAAAGAAUGAGCAAUGAAUGAAUGAAUGAAUAAACCGAUGAAUGUAUGACAUAUGAAAUAAAAUUAAUGAAGUCGCCCAGGCUGGAGUGCAAUGGCACAAUCUCGGCUCACUGCAACCUCCGCCUCCUAGGUUCAAGCGAUUCUCCUGCCUCAGCCCCCGGAGUAGCUGGGAUUACAGGUGUGCGGCACCCUGCUCAGCUAAUUUUUGUAUUUUUAGUAGAGACGGGGUUUCACCGUGUUGGCCAGGCUGGUCUCGAACUCCUGACCUCAGGUGAUCCACCCACCUUGGCCUCCCAAAGUGCUGGGAUUACAGGUGUGAGCCACUGCACCUGGCCACUUUCUUAAAUUUCUAUGUAAAACUACAUCAUGAAGGACUAGAGUCAUAUUACUUGCAGGAGUACUUGGGGGCGGGAAUCCUAGCCUUUUUUUUUUUUUUUUUUUUAUUGAGACCGAGUCUCACUCUGUCACCCAGGCUGGAGUACAGUGGCGUGAUCUCAGCUCACUGCUGCCUCCACCUCCCGGGUUCAAGCGAUUCUCCUGCCUCAGCCUCCCCAGUAGCUGGGAUUACAGGCACACCAACAGACUCAGCUAAUUUUUGUAUUUGUAAUAGAGACGGGACUUCACCAUCUUGGCUGGUCUUGAACUCCUAGCCUCAAGCUAUCCACCUGCUUUGGCCUCCCAAAGUGCUAGGAUUACAGGCAUGAGCCACCGCGCCUGCCCAGAAUCCUAGCCUUUUCUGACCUCUUCCUUCGGCAUCCUGCUUCCCUCAUAGUGUCUUCCUGGCUGCUCCAGGCGGAGGGUGUUCAGCUCCCAUGGAGAAGCCCCACAGCUUUUCAGGAUUA